Molecule: small nuclear RNA, 194 nt
Organism: Trichosurus vulpecula (common brushtail)
Lineage: Eukaryota; Metazoa; Chordata; Mammalia; Diprotodontia; Phalangeridae
Product: U2 spliceosomal RNA
Exons: 1
Source: RefSeq, a predicted model, not a curated record
UUUGCUUUUUAAAAUAUUAAUCGUAAAAAGUCUGUAUGAUAUCUUUCCUUAUCAGAUUAAUACCAGAUAAGCUUUCUAUGUGAAGACAUAUAUUAAAGGGAACUUUGAAACUGGGAGAUGUAAUAUGGGCUUGUUCUUUCCACUCCACACAUCAGUCUCAGUAUUGAAGGACUUCUGGAAAUGGUUUACCUCCC